Molecule: ribosomal RNA, 198 nt
Filed under: uncultured bacterium
Lineage: Bacteria
Description: partial 16S ribosomal RNA
Rfam family: Bacterial small subunit ribosomal RNA
Source: RNAcentral
GGAUCGGAGUCUGNAACCCGACUCCGUGAAGCUGGAUUCGCUAGUAAUCGCGCAUCAGCCAUGGCGCGGUGAAUACGUUCCCGGGCCUUGUACACACCGCCCGUCAAGCCAUGGGAGCCGGGGGUGCUUGAAGUGCGUCGCCGCGAGGCGCGCCCUAGAGCAAAACCGGUGACUGGGGCUAAGUCGUAACAAGGUAGC